This 283-nucleotide ribosomal RNA is filed under the name uncultured bacterium. Its description in RNAcentral is "partial 16S small subunit ribosomal RNA". It matches the Rfam family "Bacterial small subunit ribosomal RNA", at positions 392 to 689 of the family's 1533-position model. The record is from RNAcentral.
CAACGCCGCGUGAAGGAUGAAGGUUUUCGGAUUGUAAACUUCUUUGAUGAGGGACGAAGAAAGUGACGGUACCUCAAAAACAAGCCACGGCUAACUACGUGCCAGCAGCCGCAGUAAUACGUAGGUGGCGAGCGUUGUCCGGAAUUACUGGGUGUAAAGGGCGUGUAGGCGGGUUAAAAAGUCAGAUGUGAAACCCCUCGGCUUAACUGAGGGACUGCAUCUGAAACUUUUGAUCUUGAGUGCUGGAGAGGAAAGCGGAAUUCCCAGUGUAGCGGUGAAAUGC